Long non-coding RNA from Harpegnathos saltator (Jerdon's jumping ant), 704 nucleotides. RefSeq lists it as uncharacterized. The transcript is spliced from 3 exons. The record is from RefSeq and is a predicted model, not a curated record. Lineage: Eukaryota; Metazoa; Arthropoda; Insecta; Hymenoptera; Formicidae.
UCGUCUGCAUGAUCAGCUAUCAAACACCCUGUAUAUGUACAUACGUACAUAAUCAUUUUUUAGGUAUUGUCCGCGUUCACGUCUACGUGUACGACAAUAUUUGCGAAUCGCUUAGCUUUUCCCAGCAUUUGUGCCCCUUGGUAUAUAUGUUUACAUAUUCGUAAUAACAUAUAUAUACACGUAUAUUAUUAUGUUGUGUCGCCCGUCAUUUGAUUGCCGGUCAGCUGAUGCUGAGCAGAUGAUAUGAUGAGUCGUACCAUCAAAAAAUCAAUACCGGUGCUUAGCGACUCGUCGUCCCAGGAGAUCGCUUUUCAAUUUUAUUUUCUGAUAGUUUUCCGAUAGCAUAGCAGCCUUCGUGACAAAAAUAGUGUCCACGUAUUGCGAGGAAAGAAGAGGAUUUAAUAAAAACGAUAGAUAAUAUUAAUGUGGACCACCAAAUGCAAAAUCUGGAGGAAGACUUGCGAAAUAUAGCCAAAAACCACGAUCUAAACAAAUUAAAAGCGGAAAAUAACGAGUUGAAGGAAAAAUUGGAAAAAAUAGAAAAGCAAAUAGAAAAAUUAAUGGAAAAGAAAGAAGAAGAUGGCUCCGAAGGAAAAGCCCGGCCCAGGGGCACUAAUGCUGGGAGGAACCGGGCAUCAUGGAAUAAUUAUGAUAGGCGAGAACGUAAUCGCGGGAAAAUUAUAAAAAAUUAUUUUAAUAUAUCA